This 499-nucleotide ribosomal RNA is filed under the name uncultured bacterium. RNAcentral's name for it is "partial 16S ribosomal RNA". It matches the Rfam family "Bacterial small subunit ribosomal RNA", at positions 28 to 523 of the family's 1533-position model. The record is from RNAcentral.
GAUGAACGCUGGCGGCGUGCCUAACACAUGCAAGUCGAGCGAGAAGUUUGAAAAAUGAGUUUUCGAACAAGUGAUUCAAACGGAAAGCGGCGGACGGGUGAGUAACGCGUAGGCAACCUGCCCCGUGCAGAGGGACAGCCUCGGGAAACCGGGAUUAAGACCUCAUGAUAUCAGGUUAUCACAUGGUAAUCCGGUCAAAGAUUUAUCGGCAUGGGAUGGGCCUGCGUCUGAUUAGCUGGUUGGUGGGGUAACGGCCUACUAAGGCGACGAUCAGUAGCAGAACUGAGAGGUUCAUCGGCAACAUUGGAACUGAGACACGGUCCAAACUCCUACGGGAGGCAGCAGUGAGGAAUAUUGCACAAUGGGCGAAAGCCUGAUGCAGCAACGCCGCGUGAGCGAGGAAGGCCUUUGGGUCGUAAAGCUCUGUCCUUGGGGAAGAAACAAGUGACGGUACCCUUGGAGGAAGCCCCGGCUAACUACGUGCCAGCCGCCGCGGUAA